AACGAACGCUGGCGGCAUGCCUAACACAUGCAAGUCGAACGAGACCUUCGGGUCUAGUGGCGCACGGGUGCGUAACGCGUGGGAACCUGCCCUUAGGUUCGGAAUAACUCCCCGAAAGGGGUGCUAAUACCGGAUAAUGUCUUCGGACCAAAGAUUUAUCGCCUUAGGAUGGGCCCGCGUUGGAUUAGCUAGUUGGUAGGGUAAAAGCCUACCAAGGCGACGAUCCAUAGCUGGUCUGAGAGGAUGAUCAGCCACACUGGGAAUGAGACACGGCCCAGACUCCGACGGGAGGCAGCAGUGGGGAAUAUUGGACAAUGGGCGAAAGCCUGAUCCAGCAAUGCCGCGUGAGUGAUGAAGGCCUUAGGGUUGUAAAGCUCUUUUAGCCGGGAUGAUAAUGACAGUACCGGGAGAAGAAGCUCCGGCUAACUACGUG
RNAcentral lists this ribosomal RNA (433 nucleotides) under uncultured bacterium. Its description in RNAcentral is "partial 16S ribosomal RNA". It matches the Rfam family "Bacterial small subunit ribosomal RNA", at positions 29 to 507 of the family's 1533-position model. The record is from RNAcentral.